This 1377-nucleotide ribosomal RNA is filed under the name Microbacterium laevaniformans. RNAcentral's name for it is "bacterial SSU rRNA". It matches the Rfam family "Bacterial small subunit ribosomal RNA". Lineage: Bacteria; Bacillati; Actinomycetota; Actinomycetes; Micrococcales; Microbacteriaceae. The record is from RNAcentral.
GGUGAAGCCCAGCUUGCUGGGUGGAUCAGUGGCGAACGGGUGAGUAACACGUGAGCAAUCUGCCCCUGACUCUGGGAUAAGCGCUGGAAACGGCGUCUAAUACUGGAUACGAACCGUGGAGGCAUCUUCAACGGUUGGAAAGAUUUUUUGGUCAGGGAUGAGCUCGCGGCCUAUCAGCUUGUUGGUGAGGUAAUGGCUCACCAAGGCGUCGACGGGUAGCCGGCCUGAGAGGGUGACCGGCCACACUGGGACUGAGACACGGCCCAGACUCCUACGGGAGGCAGCAGUGGGGAAUAUUGCACAAUGGGCGAAAGCCUGAUGCAGCAACGCCGCGUGAGGGAUGACGGCCUUCGGGUUGUAAACCUCUUUUAGCAGGGAAGAAGCGAAAGUGACGGUACCUGCAGAAAAAGCGCCGGCUAACUACGUGCCAGCAGCCGCGGUAAUACGUAGGGCGCAAGCGUUAUCCGGAAUUAUUGGGCGUAAAGAGCUCGUAGGCGGUUUGUCGCGUCUGCUGUGAAAUCCCGAGGCUCAACUUCGGGUCUGCAGUGGGUACGGGCAGACUAGAGUGCGGUAGGGGAGAUUGGAAUUCCUGGUGUAGCGGUGGAAUGCGCAGAUAUCAGGAGGAACACCGAUGGCGAAGGCAGAUCUCUGGGCCGUAACUGACGCUGAGGAGCGAAAGGGUGGGGAGCAAACAGGCUUAGAUACCCUGGUAGUCCACCCCGUAAACGUUGGGAACUAGUUGUGGGGUCCAUUCCACGGAUUCCGUGACGCAGCUAACGCAUUAAGUUCCCCGCCUGGGGAGUACGGCCGCAAGGCUAAAACUCAAAGGAAUUGACGGGGACCCGCACAAGCGGCGGAGCAUGCGGAUUAAUUCGAUGCAACGCGAAGAACCUUACCAAGGCUUGACAUAUACGAGAACGCUGCAGAAAUGUAGAACUCUUUGGACACUCGUAAACAGGUGGUGCAUGGUUGUCGUCAGCUCGUGUCGUGAGAUGUUGGGUUAAGUCCCGCAACGAGCGCAACCCUCGUUCUAUGUUGCCAGCACGUAAUGGUGGGAACUCAUGGGAUACUGCCGGGGUCAACUCGGAGGAAGGUGGGGAUGACGUCAAAUCAUCAUGCCCCUUAUGUCUUGGGCUUCACGCAUGCUACAAUGGCCGGUACAAAGGGCUGCAAUACCGUGAGGUGGAGCGAAUCCCAAAAAGCCGGUCCCAGUUCGGAUUGAGGUCUGCAACUCGACCUCAUGAAGUCGGAGUCGCUAGUAAUCGCAGAUCAGCAACGCUGCGGUGAAUACGUUCCCGGGUCUUGUACACACCGCCCGUCAAGUCAUGAAAGUCGGUAACACCUGAAGCCGGUGGCCCAACCCUUGUGGAGGGAGCC